RNAcentral lists this ribosomal RNA (427 nucleotides) under uncultured bacterium. RNAcentral describes it as "partial 16S ribosomal RNA". It matches the Rfam family "Bacterial small subunit ribosomal RNA", at positions 355 to 774 of the family's 1533-position model. The record is from RNAcentral.
UGGGGAAUAUUGGACAAUGGGCGAAAGCCUGAUCCAGCCAUGCCGCGUGUGUGAAGAAGGUCUUCGGAUUGUAAAGCACUUUAAGUUGGGAGGAAGGGUUGUAGAUUAAUACUCUGCAAUUUUGACGUUACCGACAGAAUAAGCACCGGCUAACUCUGUGCCAGCAGCCGCGGUAAUACAGAGGGUGCAAGCGUUAAUCGGAAUUACUGGGCGUAAAGCGCGCGUAGGUGGUUAGUUAAGUUGGAUGUGAAAUCCCCGGGCUCAACCUGGGAACUGCAUUCAAAACUGACUGACUAGAGUAUGGUAGAGGGUGGUGGAAUUUCCUGUGUAGCGGUGAAAUGCGUAGAUAUAGGAAGGAACACCAGUGGCGAAGGCGACCACCUGGACUGAUACUGACACUGAGGUGCGAAAGCGUGGGGAGUAAACA